RNAcentral lists this transfer RNA (64 nucleotides) under Maccaffertium mediopunctatum. RNAcentral's name for it is "tRNA-Arg". Lineage: Eukaryota; Metazoa; Arthropoda; Insecta; Ephemeroptera; Heptageniidae. The record is from RNAcentral.
AAGUAAGAAGCGAAGGUAUUGCAGUCAGUUUCGACCUGGCCUUAGAUGUGUACAUCCUUACUUG